GUCCAUAUUGUCUAAUGGUAAAGACACCUAUAACUUGUUAUUGGCAGGGUGAUCUGAGUUCGAUCCUCAGUAUGGACA
This 78-nucleotide transfer RNA is filed under the name Collybiopsis luxurians FD-317 M1. Its description in RNAcentral is "tRNA-Thr (TGT) (tRNA-Thr-TGT-2-1)". The record is from RNAcentral. Lineage: Eukaryota; Fungi; Basidiomycota; Agaricomycetes; Agaricales; Omphalotaceae.